CCUACGGGAGGCAGCAGUAGGGAAUAUUGCACAAUGGGGGAAACCCUGAUGCAGCGACGCCGCGUGGACGAUGAAGCGCCUCGGCGUGUAAAGUCCUGUCAUAAGGGAAGAAAAUGACGGUACCUGAAGAAUAAGCGCCGGCUAACUCCGUGCCAGCAGCCGCGGUAAUACGUUGGGGGGACGCGUUAAUCGGUUUUACUGGGGGUAAAGGGGGCGGAGGCGGGGUUGCAAGACAGGUGUGAAAGCCCAGGGCCUAAACCCGGGACUGCUUUUGGAACUGGGUGGCUAGAGUACGGGAGAGGUAGGCGGAAUUCCUGGUGAAGCGGUGAAAUGCGUAGAUAUCAGGAGGAACAC
This 354-nucleotide ribosomal RNA is filed under the name uncultured bacterium. Its description in RNAcentral is "partial 16S ribosomal RNA". It matches the Rfam family "Bacterial small subunit ribosomal RNA", at positions 338 to 709 of the family's 1533-position model. The record is from RNAcentral.